AUUUAUAUAGUUUAACAAAAACAUUACAUUUUCAUUGUAAAAUUAAAUUUAUUUUUUAUAAAU
This 63-nucleotide transfer RNA is filed under the name Cautires sp. UPOL MW0025. RNAcentral describes it as "tRNA-Glu". Lineage: Eukaryota; Metazoa; Arthropoda; Insecta; Coleoptera; Lycidae. The record is from RNAcentral.